AGCCGCAUUUGUGCUAAGGUAGCAUAAUCACUUGUCUUUUAAAUGAGGACUAGAACAAAAGAUUUAACAUUUUAAUUUAUUUCUAUAAUAUUAAUUUUAAACUUAUUUUAAAUGUAAAAAAACAUUUAUACAAAAGAAAGACGACAAGACCCUAUUGAACUUUACUUCAGUUUUACUGGGGCAGUGAAUUAAUUAUUAUUUUAAUAUAAUUUUAUAAAUAAAUAUCCAAUCUAUUUGAUUAAACAAGUUACCAUAGGGAUAACAGCGUAAUAAAAUUUAAGAGACCUUAUCUAAAAAUUAGAUUGCGACCUCGAUGUUGAAUUAUUAUCCUAAUAUAAGCAAAAGUUUAUAAAGGAAGUCUGUUCGACUUUUAAAAAAUUACAUGAUUUGAGUUCAGACCGGUGUAAGCCAGGUCGGAUUCUAUCUUCUAAAUAGUUUUUUACAGUACGAAAGGACCUAAAAAUAUAAUUAAAUUAAUUAAUUGGCAGAAAAAUGCAUUAGAAUUAGAAUCUAAAUAAACUUAA
Molecule: ribosomal RNA, 524 nt
Filed under: Sittisax ranieri
Lineage: Eukaryota; Metazoa; Arthropoda; Arachnida; Araneae; Salticidae
Description: partial 16S ribosomal RNA
Rfam family: Bacterial large subunit ribosomal RNA (bases 135-429)
Source: RNAcentral